RNAcentral lists this non-coding RNA (45 nucleotides) under Schistosoma curassoni. Lineage: Eukaryota; Metazoa; Platyhelminthes; Trematoda; Strigeidida; Schistosomatidae. The record is from RNAcentral.
AUCCAGCUGACGAGUUCCAAACAGGACGAAACUCGAGUUCUGGAU